UACGAAGGGGACUAGCGUUGUUCGGAAUUACUGGGCGUAAAGCGCACGUAGGCGGACGUGUCAGUCAGAGGUGAAAUCCCGGAGCUCAACUUCGGAACUGCCUUUGAUACAGCAUGUCUUGAGUCCGAUAGAGGUGAGUGGAAUUCCUAGUGUAGAGGUGAAAUUCGUAGAUAUUAGGAAGAACACCAGUGGCGAAGGCGGCUCACUGGAUCGGUACUGACGCUGAGGUGCGAAAGCGUGGGGAGCAAACAGG
Molecule: ribosomal RNA, 253 nt
Filed under: uncultured bacterium
Lineage: Bacteria
Description: partial 16S ribosomal RNA
Rfam family: Bacterial small subunit ribosomal RNA
Source: RNAcentral